Molecule: ribosomal RNA, 420 nt
Filed under: uncultured Microbacterium sp.
Lineage: Bacteria; Bacillati; Actinomycetota; Actinomycetes; Micrococcales; Microbacteriaceae
Description: bacterial SSU rRNA
Rfam family: Bacterial small subunit ribosomal RNA
Source: RNAcentral
GGAAUAUUGCACAAUGGGCGCAAGCCUGAUGCAGCAACGCCGCGUGAGGGAUGACGGCCUUCGGGUUGUAAACCUCUUUUAGCAGGGAAGAAGCGAAAGUGACGGUACCUGCAGAAAAAGCGCCGGCUAACUACGUGCCAGCAGCCGCGGUAAUACGUAGGGCGCAAGCGUUAUCCGGAAUUAUUGGGCGUAAAGAGCUCGUAGGCGGUUUGUCGCGUCUGCUGUGAAAUCCGGAGGCUCAACCUCCGGCCUGCAGUGGGUACGGGCAGACUAGAGUGCGGUAGGGGAGAUUGGAAUUCCUGGUGUAGCGGUGGAAUGCGCAGAUAUCAGGAGGAACACCGAUGGCGAAGGCAGAUCUCUGGGCCGUAACUGACGCUGAGGAGCGAAAGGGUGGGGAGCAAACAGGAUUAGAUACCCUAG